Molecule: long non-coding RNA, 482 nt
Filed under: Fukomys damarensis (Damara mole-rat)
Lineage: Eukaryota; Metazoa; Chordata; Mammalia; Rodentia; Bathyergidae
Description: lncRNA (ENSFDAG00000022187.1)
Source: RNAcentral
AAAUAUAACCCACAAAAAAUAAUAGUUUUGCUUCACUUACUUCGCCUACAGUGCCAGGGGGAUGGAUUUAAUGAUCUUAUAGGUCUUUUCAAUCUCUCUAAUAUUUGUGAAAUGGCAACUGUCAAUGUUAAACAAGAAAUUGCUGAAAUGGCACAACUUUUUGAAAUGGAUAUUCUCUCAUAGGACCAGAGCCCAGGAAUGGAAAGAACAACCAUAAACCUCACUGAAACUCAUCUCAACAGGAGGCCAACUUUACUCUUCAGCUAAUAAAAACAACCACCUUUAAAAAUGCAACCUGUCAAACCACAUCAUGUUGAAAGGAAGCCCUCUCAAACUCCAGCUGCUGUUUUGUCUUUGAAGACUAGAGUAAAGAAAAAGGUGAUAAAUGGAUGGAGUAUCCAGUGUUCCAGCUGUCCCAGGACUCCCCAUGAGGUUUACUUAAAGCCCUUCUUACUUAGAAAUUUCUCCUUACACAAUCAUGG